CCGUUCUGGACAUUUUAUAUUGACUUUUUGUAGUUUUAGCUAAAUAUUUAUUUAUUUUAAUUGUGAAUAAACUGUUUUCAAUUUUGCCAACAUUAGCUUGGGCUGUUUCUUGGGAGUUGUACUUGGUGAUUAAAGGACCCUGAUUGGUGACAUUUCUUUGGCGUUGUCGGCAGGAUCACCAGUGCUACUGCUAAGAAAUGGACCCAGCUCAGCCAGGCUCCAGUGCAGCUAUUAAUGCAAACUUUAUGAUGCCAUGGUUUAUGGGGGCCGCAUGGAUUCCAAAAUUCAAUGGGGAAGCUGCAAAAUUUGGGGACUGGAGAGCCCAGGUGGAAGCAAUGUUGAGGGCACAAGAUUUAAAUCCACAGCAGCAGGCAGAUUUUUUUGUUUUGGGAGCCUUGGAAGGGGAAGCCACGCAGGAACUAAUGCUAGCCAAAUCAACUGAAAAGGAGACUGGGGCUAAGGUAUUGGCUUUUUUACAAAACCUUUAUGCUAAGCCUGCCACAAAAGCAAAAUUACGCGUAAAUUUUUUUAACUGUAAACAGAGGGCUGACGAAUCAAUUAACACUUUUAUUUUACGCCUCCGCAAAGUGUUUUCUAGGUGGCAAGAUUCUGAUGUAGACGGGACUGGGGAGGAGGACGACCUGCUUUUGGAUCAGUUUAUGGUUGAUCUUCGUAAAGGGCCGCUUAAACAGGAACUUAGUCGCUAAAUGCGGCGUAGACAUGAUAUGACUUUUAAAAUAGCUUGUAAAGAGACUCGCACCUUGGAGAAAGCUUGAGGAAGAGGACGAUGUGCUGGUGUCAAAUCCUGUCGCAGCCUACGCUCCAUCAAGGCCAACCCCCUUUGACAGUGAGAAAUUAAGGGGAAAGAUGCAUUCUGAGCUGAAGGAGGAGCUGUUGGGGGAGUUAAGGAAGGAGAUUAAAGAGCAAUUAAAGGCUAUGUCAUCUGCAAUCGUAGAGGAUGUUAAAACUCAGCUCAGAGUUCCGUCUCCAACCCCACAAUCUCAAAUGGGACAUCUAUGAACAAGGACCCCCUCUUACCAGUGGGAUGAACAAGGGAGGCCCAUCUGUCGAAGCUGUGGCACUGCAGGGCAUGUCCAGCGCCACUGCUCUCAGAGAUCUUCCAGGCCACAGGAUUUUUAGCCACCCCUGCAGCUGAGGGCCAAGCAGUGGGGGUGGUUGUUUCAGAGCCCAAAGCGCACUCCAUACAGGUCCCAGAACCUGCCACGGCAACAGACCCUGAGUCAAAGAUGGUCCUGGUUGAGAGAGCUGCAGGACCUUACUAACCUGUGGAAUUGCCACAGAAUUCGCCCCAGUAGGAAUGCAGUUUCUCCAAGUGGACGACCACUAUUGAUGUACAACCUUCCCCAUCUGUUUGGCACCACAAACUACAUCAAGGCAGUAUCCCAUCAACAGAUCCAGGCUUGUAGAGAGGAAUGCCUGCCAAGAGGUCCAAAUCCAUGUGAUGAGACUGUUUUUGACAUUUGCUGCCUUGCAGUGUCAGAAAACUAUCUGCAUCCACCUACUUCUUCUGAGGAGGCAAUUGAACUCUACCUUUUCUUACGAGCCUACAUCCACACUCAGAUUUAAUAGCUGUUCCCAGACAGACAGCAGCGACCUGCAGAAAGAUAACUAGCCAACCGGUGAAUUUUAACUUUAAAAUUGCCUGUAACUGACCUGAAAUACCAUUGUCACUGUUGUUAUUUUUGUUGUUAAUAUCUGUCUAAUUAAUGUUUUGUAAUCACCAUGGCAGUGGCAAUUGCAAAUUUACCUGUAUUACAUCUGAAUGUCAUUUUAGUAUGAAGACAAUUGAAACCUGUGAGGUACAGUGUGUGUUUAAAGUCUUGAUUAUGUGUAAUGUAUAUACACUGUGGGCUUUGUCAAAAGAGUAAAUAAUUUAUAGGCUCUGUUAUAACUUUGAUUCAAACACUUUACCUGAUUUAUAAAGGGACCAACUGGUACCAACUGUGCCCAAAUCUUUGUAAUAUAAUAUUGAAAUUCAAGCACUCUGGAAUUCAUCUUCAGGAUUAUCGGUCUCUUAAAAAAUGCUGAAAAAUUACAUUAGACAGCAAAUGGUGAACACUAAUAUCAUUAAUGUGGCAUUUUGUUGAAUGCAAUGAAGUUAAUAAAAACUUUUUUGUA
Thalassophryne amazonica is the source of this 2139-nucleotide long non-coding RNA. RefSeq lists it as uncharacterized. The transcript is spliced from 3 exons. Lineage: Eukaryota; Metazoa; Chordata; Actinopteri; Batrachoidiformes; Batrachoididae. The record is from RefSeq and is a predicted model, not a curated record.